RNAcentral lists this ribosomal RNA (198 nucleotides) under uncultured Bacillus sp. RNAcentral's name for it is "partial 16S ribosomal RNA". It matches the Rfam family "Bacterial small subunit ribosomal RNA", at positions 335 to 524 of the family's 1533-position model. Lineage: Bacteria; Bacillati; Bacillota; Bacilli; Caryophanales; Bacillaceae. The record is from RNAcentral.
ACUCCUACGGGAGGCAGCAGUAGGGAAUCUUCCGCAAUGGACGAAAGUCUGACGGAGCAACGCCGCGUGAGCGAAGAAGGCCUUCGGGUCGUAAAGCUCUGUUGUUAGGGAAGAACAAGUAUCGUUCGAAUAGGGCGAUACCUUGACGGUACCUAACCAGAAAGCCACGGCUAACUACGUGCCAGCAGCCGCGGUAAU